RNAcentral lists this ribosomal RNA (450 nucleotides) under uncultured bacterium. Its description in RNAcentral is "partial 16S ribosomal RNA". It matches the Rfam family "Bacterial small subunit ribosomal RNA", at positions 354 to 796 of the family's 1533-position model. The record is from RNAcentral.
GUAAGGAAUAUUGGUCAAUGGAGGCAACUCUGAACCAGCCAUGCCGCGUGCAGGAAGAAGGCCUUCGGGUUGUAAACUGCUUUUGUACGGAACGAAAAGACUCCUUCUAAUAAAGGGGGUCCAUGACGGUACCGUAAGAAUAAGCACCGGAUAACUACGUGCCAGCAGCCGCGGUAAUACGUAGGGUGCAAGCGUUAAUCGGAAUUACUGGGCGUAAAGCGCGCGUAGGUGGUUUUGUAAGUUGGAGGUGAAAUCCCCGGGCUCAACCUGGGAACUGCCUCCAAAACUGCAUGACUAGAGUACGGUAGAGGGUAGUGGAAUUCCCGGUGUAGCGGUGAAAUGCGUAGAGAUCGGGAGGAACAUCCGUGGCGAAGGCGGCCAUCUGGACCAGCACUGACACUGAGGCACGAAAGCGUGGGGAGCAAACAGGAUUAGAUACCCGAGUAGUCC